This is a long non-coding RNA of Anolis carolinensis (green anole), 2571 nucleotides long. The record is from Ensembl. NCBI's taxonomy places the organism in Eukaryota, Metazoa, Chordata, Lepidosauria, Squamata, Anolidae.
AUGAAUAUACUUCUUCACACGCAGUUUUGGAAAGCAAUUGAAAAGAGAGAAGAAAGGAGUGAUUGUCUCACAAUUGGGUGUUCACCCACCAUUUGCUUUGAUGGUCCAGGAAUAGAGAGGUUCAGUGAGUGCCUUCCCACCUACUGGGUUUGCCUGCUGCCGCCACUGUUCUGAAGAGUCUCCAUGUCUCUCAUGCAACCGGGGGAUUUGGCAGAGAUACAUACUGACUUGUCUUGCCUUUUGUAUGAGAGGACUAGUCAAGUGGAAAACUACGGAGUGAGCUGCAGAUCAGAUCACUGCACAGCCAUCCUUACGCAUGGAUAAACUAACAUGUCAAUACACACGGCAUGAGGCUGCCUCUCCUGGCCUUCCUUUCUGGCAGAAAAGCAGUUGCAGCUAAUGAAGUCAUGGGAGAUAACAGACAGAAGGUAAUAGAUCUGCUUACUUGAUACCAGUUAGGUCUCAUCUUGACAACAGUUGUAGGGUCUGUGGUUUUGAGACAGAUAAGCUGAAAAUGAUUUGAAGGAAAGCUGAGAAGUGAACAGGACUUUUCUGAAGCAGUUCCUACUAGGAAGGGUGAAAAGAUAUUUGAGAAGACAAAGGCCUUUAUCACACCACAUAUUUAUACCAUUGUUAGUGUUACACAGUCUUGUGAGAGUAGCAGAUUGUCAAUGCUCUCUAUCUCUUGCUGCUUUUGCAUUUUUAAGAGCAUCAUUUCCACAUUUUUAAAUCUGCCAUAAUGGUGUCACUACUGACUCCUUUACCCUGCUUCUCAUUUCAUGAUUAGUUCCUCUAAACAAAAAUUUAAAAUUGCAACCAUAACAGUGCUUUAACAGCAGAAUAGUAGGAUGGUAGGACAUGUUGAUAUAAGGGCAGAGAAAAGAAACCCAGAAAUUAGAAGAAGGGGUUAAAAGGAGUUUAAGAGGGGUGAUCUGUGGCUUUUCUGCAAGAGAUUUCUUUGUGAAUGUUUGAGGAGGGAAAAGAGGAUCAUUAAUAGACUAUUUCAAUGUGAAAAUACACAUUUUCAAUGACUUAGAUCCCUUUUACAUGACCUUCUAUCCUGGGAUCUGAUCCCAGGUUAUCUGCUUUGAAGUGGAUUAUAUGAGUCUACACUGCCAGAUAAUCUAGGAUAAAAAAAUAAUCUGGGAUCGGAUCCUGGGAUAUAAGAACAAUGUAGAAGGGGCCUCUUUAAAGCAACGGUACCUGAGGUGCAACACUGUCAUGGGAGAGGGUUGAAGCACCAGUGGGAGUAACACAUUGCCAUAGCAUCCCAAUAGUGUAGUGUGACAGUCUUCAGAAGAAGAGUGUAGAGGUAAAAUGAACCUACAUAGUUAUCUCAACAGUGCUAAAGUAGUUCAUUUUCCCUGCCAAUCAAAAGAAGAUGAGAACAAAUAAUCCAAAGUAGUUUUAGGCAUAUUCCACAAAUGAACCUGAACCAGCUAAAUGUUUGAAUAUAAGUUUGUUUAGUCAUUAAUAUCUUCUGCUCCAUGAAUGCAACUUGAUUUCCAUUUUGGUACACAGUACAGGAAGAGUGCCUGCUUCAAGCAGCUUCCAAUCUAAAAGGUUACAAAGGAUAAAUAACAAAGGACAAGAAGAAAUACAGCACAUGUGUCGAAAAGUUUCAGAAGAGUGAAUUUCAUUAUGGAUUUCUGAAUAAAAGGUGAAUCCCUAAAGACAUUUUGUUUCAACUUCUGCUAUAUUCAAUUUCAUGUAAAGGACACCCCCCUCCAAACUGUUGAUUUAAGACUGAAGUUAAAAUUCCCCCCUCUUGGCUCAAGCUUUAUAUAGUUAGAAAUAUACAAUCUGGGUCUUAAGAAACAUAUCCUGUCAGGCCUGUAGCGAGGGGGGGGGGGUUUAGGGGUUCAACCCCCCCCCCUCAAAUUUUUCAGGUUAAAAAAAACUGGUUUACUCAUGAAUUUUAACUGGCUACGGCCCUGUGUCCUGUUAACAUUACAGGCUAUGCUAACAAAGCACCUAACAAUAAAAGACCACUUGGAGCACAUCUACACUGACCUUUUCGGUUGGUCCACUGUGAGAAUGAUUAGAUUGACAUGUCUGGAACAGUUUUGAGGCCAGGAAGGUGUACUGGGUUUCAUCUCUGGAUUGCAUAAGUCUCUUGUGUCAUCAAGUCUCCAGACCUCAAUGAGUAACUAGAUUAGAAAUAAGAUUAGAGUGAGGGAUUUCCCUCCCCCCCCAAUAUUCCUAUGAAUGCUUCCCAGAAUGCGCUUUACUCAUCCGUUUUGUCACUAUCUCCUCCCCUUUGAAAAUGUAGCAAUGGAAUCUCUGUGAGAUCACUUCCUUUUUAAAGGUACAGUAGUCUCUCUUAUCCAAUAUAAAUGGGCCGGCAGAAUGUUGGAUAAGCGAAAAUGUUGGAUAAUGAGGGAUUAAGCAAAAGCCUAUUAAAUAUUGAAUUACGUUAUGAUUUUACAAAUUAAACACCAAAACAUCAUGCUUUACAACAAAUCAACAGAAAAAGCAAUUCAAUACAUGGUAACAUUAUGUAGUAAUUAUUGUAUUCACAAAUUUAGCACCAAAACAUCACAAUGCAUUGAAAACAUUGAUUACUAAAAA